This 312-nucleotide long non-coding RNA is filed under the name Elaeis guineensis (African oil palm). RNAcentral describes it as "long non-coding RNA (EGUI_LNC067926)". The record is from RNAcentral. Lineage: Eukaryota; Viridiplantae; Streptophyta; Magnoliopsida; Arecales; Arecaceae.
CUUGGGAGAAAGAGUUCUAUAUUUCCUUGGCUUGAUCAAAUCUAUGCAAGUACAUGUAUAUAUAAACACAGGGUCAAGUGACCCAAACCCAAAACUCUCUUGACCAACUCUAUGGGAGAUUAGGUUAACCCAAGCCCAUGUACACCCAUGACUCGAUCUAAUCUCACCAAUCCUGGGCCCAGACCUGGCCCAUAAAGAGUUGGUCCCUUGAGGCCCACAUAACCUAGACCUCAAGAACCCGAAAGGCCCACAGCCUUUUAACCUAGGGCCCAACUAGCUCUAGAGCCUCCAUGAAGCCCUCAUGAAUGAUGG